RNAcentral lists this ribosomal RNA (253 nucleotides) under uncultured bacterium. RNAcentral describes it as "partial 16S ribosomal RNA". It matches the Rfam family "Bacterial small subunit ribosomal RNA", at positions 524 to 776 of the family's 1533-position model. The record is from RNAcentral.
UACGGGGGGGGCAAGCGUUGUUCGGAAUUACUGGGCGUAAAGGGCUCGUAGGUGGUCAACUAAGUCGGACGUGAAAUCCCUCGGCUUAACCGGGGAACUGCGUCCGAUACUGGAUGACUUGAGUUCGGGAGGGGGAUGCGGAAUUCCAGGUGUAGCGGUGAAAUGCGUAGAUAUCUGGAGGAACACCGGUGGCGAAGGCGGCAUCCUGGACCGACACUGACGCUGAGGAGCGAAAGCCAGGGGAGCAAACGGG